This 1630-nucleotide ribosomal RNA is filed under the name metagenome. RNAcentral's name for it is "bacterial LSU rRNA". It matches the Rfam family "Bacterial large subunit ribosomal RNA", at positions 1298 to 2925 of the family's 2925-position model. The record is from RNAcentral.
GGGUAUAAGUACACGAUAAGGCAGGUGAGAAUCCUGCCCGCCGGAAGUCUAAGGAUUCCUGGGGAAGGCUCGUCCGCCCAGGGUAAGUCGGGACUUAAGGCAAGGCCGAAAGGCGUAGUCGAUGGGAAACAGGUAGAUAUUCCUGUACCACCGCUAUAUGAUGACGAAGCAGUGACGCAGAAAGGUAGAGCGAGCGGCCAGUUGGUGAGCCGUUCAAGUGAGUAGGGUGUUGCGUAGGCAAAUCCGCGCAACGUGAGCCUGAGACACGAUGACGAGUGAAAAAUAGUAACGAAGUCCUUGAUCCUCCGCUGCCAAGAAAAGCUGCUAAGGAAUAUAGAGGUGCCCGUACCGCAAACCGACACAGGUAGACAGGUAGAGAAUACUAAGGCGCGCGAGAUAACUCUUGUUAAGGAACUCUGCAAAAUGAACCCGUAACUUCGGGAGAAGGGUUGCUCUCUAGCGUGAGUAUGAGCAAUACAGAGCGCAGGAGAGUCGCAGUGGAAAGGUCCAGGCGACUGUUUAGCAAAAACACAGGUCAUUGCAAAAUCGCAAGAUGAAGUAUAAUGGCUGACGCCUGCCCGGUGCUGGAAGGUUAAGGGGAAGAGUGCAAGCUUUGAACCGAAGCCCCAGUAAACGGCGGCCGUAACUAUAACGGUCCUAAGGUAGCGAAAUUCCUUGUCGGGUAAGUUCCGACCCGCACGAAAGGCGAAACGAUCUGGACGCUGUCUCAACAAGGGACUCGGUGAAAUUGAAAUUCCGGUAAAGAUGCCGGAUACCUGCGAUAGGACAGAAAGACCCCAUGGAGCUUUACUGUAGCCUGAUAUUGGGUUUCGGAUAUUCAUGUACAGGAUAGGUGGGAGACUAAGAAGCAUGGACGCCAGUUUGUGCGGAGUCACUGGUGGGAUACCACCCUUGAAUGUUUGGAGUUCUAACAAGGAGUCUUGAAGCAGAUUAUUGGACAGUGUCAGGUGGGCAGUUUGACUGGGGCGGUCGCCUCCCAAAAGGUAACGGAGGCGCUCAAAGGUUCCCUCAGAACGGAUGGAAAUCGUUCGCAGAGUGCAAAGGCAGAAGGGAGCUUGACUGCGAGAGCCACAACUCGAGCAGAUAGGAAACUAGGACUUAGUGAUCCGGCGGUCGCGAGUGGAAGUGCCGUCGCUCAACGGAUAAAAGCUACCCUGGGGAUAACAGGCUUAUCUCCCCCAAGAGUUCACAUCGACGGGGAGGUUUGGCACCUCGAUGUCGGCUCAUCGCAUCCUGGGGCUGAAGUAGGUCCCAAGGGUUGGGCUGUUCGCCCAUUAAAGCGGUACGCGAGCUGGGUUCAGAACGUCGUGAGACAGUUCGGUCCCUAUCCAUCGCGGGCGUAGGAAAUUUGAAGGGAGCUGACCCUAGUACGAGAGGACCGGGUUGGACAGACCGCUGGUGAACCAGUUGUUCUGCCAAGAGCAUAGCUGGGUAGCUAAGUCUGGAAAAGAUAAACGCUGAAAGCAUCUAAGCGUGAAGCGAACCUUAAGAUGAGAUUUCCCACAACGAAAGUUGAUAAGCACCAGAGAGAAUAACUGGUAGAUAGGUCAGGAGUGUAAGUGUGGUGACACAUUGAGCGGACUGAUACUAAUAAGUCUAAGACUUAGCC